GAUGAACGCUGGCGGCGUGCUUAACACAUGCAAGUCGAACGAUGAUCCCAGCUUGCUGGGGGAUUAGUGGCGAACGGGUGAGUAACACGUGAGUAACCUGCCCUUAACUCUGGGAUAAGCCUGGGAAACUGGGUCUAAUACCGGAUAUGACUCCUCAUCGCAUGGUGGGGGGUGGAAAGCUUUAUUGUGGUUUUGGAUGGACUCGCGGCCUAUCAGCUUGUUGGUGAGGUAAUGGCUCACCAAGGCGACGACGGGUAGCCGGCCUGAGAGGGUGACCGGCCACACUGGGACUGAGACACGGCCCAGACUCCUACGGGAGGCAG
Molecule: ribosomal RNA, 323 nt
Filed under: uncultured Actinomycetes bacterium
Lineage: Bacteria; Bacillati; Actinomycetota; Actinomycetes
Description: bacterial SSU rRNA
Rfam family: Bacterial small subunit ribosomal RNA
Source: RNAcentral